ACAUGCAAGUCGAACGGUAACAGGAAGCAGCUUGCUGCUUCGCUGACGAGUGGCGGACGGGUGAGUAAUGUCUGGGAAACUGCCUGAUGGAGGGGGAUAACUACUGGAAACGGUAGCUAAUACCGCAUAACGUCGCAAGACCAAAGAGGGGGACCUUCGGGCCUCUUGCCAUCGGAUGUGCCCAGAUGGGAUUAGCUAGUAGGUGGGGUAACGGCUCACCUAGGCGACGAUCCCUAGCUGGUCUGAGAGGAUGACCAGCCACACUGGAACUGAGACACGGUCCAGACUCCUACGGGAGGCAGCAGUGGGGAAUAUUGCACAAUGGGCGCAAGCCUGAUGCAGCCAUGCCGCGUGUAUGAAGAAGGCCUUCGGGUUGUAAAGUACUUUCAGCGGGGAGGAAGGCGAUAAGGUUAAUAACCUUGUCGAUUGACGUUACCCGCAGAAGAAGCACCGGCUAACUCCGUGCCAGCAGCCGCGGUAAUACGGAGGGUGCAAGCGUUAAUCGGAAUUACUGGGCGUAAAGCGCACGCAGGCGGUCUGUCAAGUCGGAUGUGAAAUCCCCGGGCUCAACCUGGGAACUGCAUUCGAAACUGGCAGGCUAGAGUCUUGUAGAGGGGGGUAGAAUUCCAGGUGUAGCGGUGAAAUGCGUAGAGAUCUGGAGGAAUACCGGUGGCGAAGGCGGCCCCCUGGACAAAGACUGACGCUCAGGUGCGAAAG
RNAcentral lists this ribosomal RNA (717 nucleotides) under Enterobacter hormaechei. RNAcentral's name for it is "bacterial SSU rRNA". It matches the Rfam family "Bacterial small subunit ribosomal RNA", at positions 53 to 759 of the family's 1533-position model. Lineage: Bacteria; Pseudomonadati; Pseudomonadota; Gammaproteobacteria; Enterobacterales; Enterobacteriaceae. The record is from RNAcentral.